CCUACGGGAGGCAGCAGUGAGGAAUAUUGGUCAAUGGGCGCGAGCCUGAACCAGCCAAGUAGCGUGAAGGAUGACUGCCCUACGGGUUGUAAACUUCUUUUAUAAAGGAAUAAAGUGAGGCACGUGUGCCUUUUUGUAUGUAUUUUAUGAAUAAGGAUCGGCUAACUCCGUGCCAGCAGCCGCGGUAAUACGGAGGAUCCGAGCGUUAUCCGGAUUUAUUGGGUUUAAAGGGUGGGUAGGCGGUAGAUUAAGUCAGCGGUAAAAUUGAGGGGCUCAACCUCUUCGAGCCGUUGAAACUGGUGUUCUUGAGUGAGUGAGAGGUAGGCGGAAUGCGUGGUGUAGCGGUGAAAUGCAUAGAGAUCACACAGAACUCCGAUUGCGAAGGCAGCAUACCAACGCUCGACUGACGCUCAUGCACGAAAGUGUGGGUAUCGAACAGGAUUAGAUACCCGAGUAGUC
RNAcentral lists this ribosomal RNA (459 nucleotides) under uncultured bacterium. Its description in RNAcentral is "partial 16S ribosomal RNA". It matches the Rfam family "Bacterial small subunit ribosomal RNA", at positions 338 to 795 of the family's 1533-position model. The record is from RNAcentral.